Molecule: unclassified non-coding RNA, 207 nt
Filed under: Hevea brasiliensis (rubber tree)
Lineage: Eukaryota; Viridiplantae; Streptophyta; Magnoliopsida; Malpighiales; Euphorbiaceae
Source: RNAcentral
UAUUCUUCAAAAUUCGUGGGUCCAAAAUAUGCUAUUAUUUAUUCACUUUUGGAAGCCCAUAUAGAAGGGAUUUUAGUGUUUCUGAUGCCUUUUAUGUUCCUAUAUGGGUUGGGAGUCAAUUUGGCAUAUUUGACCACCAAAUAUUCUCCAAGAUCUUCAAAGAUUAUGGCCAGCAAAAAUAUAGACGAAUUUUGACUUGUCAACUCA